AGCUCAGUUGGUAGAGCAUCUGACUUUUAAUCAGAGGGUCAGUGGUUCGAGUUCGGCGCUA
This 61-nucleotide transfer RNA is filed under the name Staphylococcus xylosus. Its description in RNAcentral is "tRNA-Lys". It matches the Rfam family "tRNA", at positions 9 to 71 of the family's 71-position model. Rfam says of the family: Transfer RNA (tRNA) molecules are approximately 80 nucleotides in length. Their secondary structure includes four short double-helical elements and three loops (D, anti-codon, and T loops). The record is from RNAcentral. Lineage: Bacteria; Bacillati; Bacillota; Bacilli; Caryophanales; Staphylococcaceae.